This 253-nucleotide ribosomal RNA is filed under the name uncultured bacterium. Its description in RNAcentral is "partial 16S ribosomal RNA". It matches the Rfam family "Bacterial small subunit ribosomal RNA", at positions 524 to 776 of the family's 1533-position model. The record is from RNAcentral.
UACGAAGGGGGCUAGCGUUGUUCGGAAUUACUGGGCGUAAAGCGCACGUAGGCGGCUUUGUAAGUUAGAGGUGAAAGCCCGGAGCUCAACUUCGGAAUUGCCUUUAAGACUGCAUCGCUUGAAUCGUGGAGAGGUGAGUGGAAUUCCGAGUGUAGAGGUGAAAUUCGUAGAUAUUCGGAAGAACACCAGUGGCGAAGGCGACUCACUGGACACGUAUUGACGCUGAGGUGCGAAAGCGUGGGGAGCAAACAGG